UACGUAGGGGGCAAGCGUUAUCCGGAUUUACUGGGUGUAAAGGGAGCGUAGACGGCCAGACAAGUCUGAAGUGAAAAUCCAGCGCUUAACGUUGGAAGUGCUUUGGAAACUGCCGGGCUAGAGUGCAGGAGGGGCAGGCGGAAUUCCUAGUGUAGCGGUGAAAUGUGUAGAUAUUAGGAGGAACACCAGUGGCGAAGGCGGCCUGCUGGACUGCAACUGACGUUGAGGCUCGAAGGCGUGGGGAGCAAACAGG
This 253-nucleotide ribosomal RNA is filed under the name uncultured bacterium. RNAcentral's name for it is "partial 16S ribosomal RNA". It matches the Rfam family "Bacterial small subunit ribosomal RNA", at positions 524 to 776 of the family's 1533-position model. The record is from RNAcentral.